RNAcentral lists this ribosomal RNA (255 nucleotides) under uncultured yeast. Its description in RNAcentral is "partial 26S ribosomal RNA". It matches the Rfam family "Eukaryotic large subunit ribosomal RNA", at positions 28 to 281 of the family's 3401-position model. The record is from RNAcentral. Lineage: Eukaryota; Fungi.
CGGGGCGGGGGCAUAUCAAUAAGCGGAGGAAAAGCAACCAACAGGGAUUGCCUCAGUAACGGCGAGUGAAGCGGCAACAGCUCAAAUUUGAAAUCUGGCUCUUUCAGAGUCCGAGUUGUAAUUUGUAGAGGAUGCUUCGGAAUGGUCCCAGUCUAAGUUCCUUGGAACAGGACGUCACAGAGGGUGAGAAUCCCGUAUGUGACUGGGUAACCGGCCCAUGUGAAGCUCCUUCGACGAGUCGAGUUGUUUGGGAAU